UCCGAGAGGGGGGCCUGCGGAGGGAUCAUUACACAACAAAAAUAUGAGGGUGUGGUUUGCUGGCAACAGCGUCCGCCCCAAGUAUUUUUCACCCAUGUCUUUUGCGCACUUUUUGUUUCCUGGGCGAGUUCGCUCGCCACCAGGACCCAACCAUAAACCUUUUUUUAUGCAGUUGCAAUCAGCGUCAGUAUAAUAAUUCAAUUUAUUAAAACUUUCAACAACGGAUCUCUUGGUUCUGGCAUCGAUGAAGAACGCAGCGAAAUGCGAUACGUAGUGUGAAUUGCAGAAUUCAGUGAAUCAUCGAAUCUUUGAACGCACAUUGCGCCCUUUGGUAUUCCAAAGGGCAUGCCUGUUCGAGCGUCAUUUGUACCCUCAAGCUUUGCUUGGUGUUGGGCGUCUUUUUGUCUCUCCCCUUGUUGGGGGAGACUCGCCUUAAAACGAUUGGCAGCCGACCUACUGGUUUUCGGAGCGCAGCACAAAUUUGCGCCUUCCAAUCCACGGGGCGGCAUCCAGCAAGCCUUUGUUUUCUAUAACAAAUCCACAUUUUGACCUCGGAUCAGGUAGGGAUACCCGCUGAACUUAAGCAUAUCAUAGGC
This 596-nucleotide ribosomal RNA is filed under the name Exserohilum rostratum. RNAcentral's name for it is "eukaryotic LSU rRNA". The stretch from base 210 to 363 matches the Rfam family "5.8S ribosomal RNA". The record is from RNAcentral. Lineage: Eukaryota; Fungi; Ascomycota; Dothideomycetes; Pleosporales; Pleosporaceae.